AACGAACGCUGGCGGCAUGCCUAACACAUGCCAGUCGAACGAGACCUUCGGGUCUAGUGGCGCACGGGUGCGUAUCGCGUGGGAACCUGCCCUUAGGUUCGGAAUAACUCCCCGAAAGGGGUGCUAAUACCGGAUAAUGUCUUCGGACCAAAGAUUUAUCGCCUUUGGAUGGGCCCGCGUUGGAUUAGCUAGUUGGUAGGGUAAAAGCCUACCAAGGCGACGAUCCAUAGCUGGUCUGAGAGGAUGAUCAGCCACACUGGGACUGAGACACGGCCCAGACUCCUACGGGAGGCAGCAGUGGGGAAUAUUGGACAAUGGGCGAAAGCCUGAUCCAGCAAUGCCGCGUGAGUGAUGAAGGCCUUAGGGUUGUAAAGCUCUUUUACCCGGGAUGAUAAUGACAGUACCGGGAGAAUAAGCUCCGGCUAACUCCGUG
This 433-nucleotide ribosomal RNA is filed under the name uncultured bacterium. RNAcentral's name for it is "partial 16S ribosomal RNA". It matches the Rfam family "Bacterial small subunit ribosomal RNA", at positions 29 to 507 of the family's 1533-position model. The record is from RNAcentral.